UGGACAAAUUAUUUUAUUCGACUGUAUUCACGACGUGAAACAGGGGAUUACACUAUUUUUAAACGGAAAGUGAAUCAAUUAACAUAAUAGACUCCU
Molecule: microRNA precursor, 96 nt
Organism: Nicotiana attenuata
Lineage: Eukaryota; Viridiplantae; Streptophyta; Magnoliopsida; Solanales; Solanaceae
Rfam family: MIR6152 microRNA precursor family
Source: Rfam